GGGCACAUGGUGUAGAUGGUUAUCACGCUCGCUUAGCAUUUCUUCAAAGAUCUGCGAGAGGUCUCCGGUUCGAGUCCGGAUGUGUCCA
This is a non-coding RNA of Schizopora paradoxa, 88 nucleotides long. The record is from the annotation of a GenBank genome assembly. NCBI's taxonomy places the organism in Eukaryota, Fungi, Basidiomycota, Agaricomycetes, Hymenochaetales, Schizoporaceae.